UCCGGCUUGACGCCGGCAGUCCCCCGAGAGUCCUCAGCAUGACCUGUUAGUAACACGGGGCGAGGGUUGCGCUCGUUGCGGGACUUAACCCAACAUCUCACGACACGAGCUGACGACAGCCAUGCAGCACCUGUGCUGGUGUUCCGAAGAAGGGCCCGACUUUCGUCAGGCUUUCACCAGCAUGUCAAGGGUUGGUAAGGUUCUGCGCGUUGCUUCGAAUUAAACCACAUGCUCCGCUGCUUGUGCGGGUCCCCGUCAAUUCCUUUGAGUUUUAGCCUUGCGGCCGUACUCCCCAGGCGGGGCACUUAAUGCGUUAGCUCCGGCACGGGAGGAGUCGACACCUCCCACACCUAGUGCCCAUCGUUUACGGCGUGGACUAC
Molecule: unclassified non-coding RNA, 380 nt
Filed under: uncultured bacterium
Lineage: Bacteria
Description: contains 16S-23S intergenic spacer region
Source: RNAcentral